AGCUUUUUGAAUCCGUGUAGAGAUUUCGUCAGACACUAACUCAUUAGAGCUGAUCGAACUACCAAGAUAAGUGGAGUU
Molecule: microRNA precursor, 78 nt
Filed under: Schistosoma mansoni
Lineage: Eukaryota; Metazoa; Platyhelminthes; Trematoda; Strigeidida; Schistosomatidae
Description: mir-3492 microRNA precursor family
Rfam family: mir-3492 microRNA precursor family
Source: Rfam by way of RNAcentral